This 497-nucleotide ribosomal RNA is filed under the name uncultured bacterium. RNAcentral describes it as "partial 16S ribosomal RNA". It matches the Rfam family "Bacterial small subunit ribosomal RNA", at positions 28 to 507 of the family's 1533-position model. The record is from RNAcentral.
GAUGAACGCUGGCGGCGUGCCUAAUACAUGCAAGUCGAGCAAACAGACGAGGAGCUUGCUCCUCUGACGUUAGCGGCGGACGGGUGAGUAACACGUGGAUAACCUACCUAUAAGACUGGGAUAACUUCGGGAAACCGGAGCUAAUACCGGAUAAUAUAUUGAACCGCAUGGUUCAAUAGUGAAAGACGGUUUUGCUGUCACUUAUAGAUGGAUCCGCGCCGCAUUAGCUAGUUGGUAAGGUAACGGCUUACCAAGGCAACGAUGCGUAGCCGACCUGAGAGGGUGAUCGGCCACACUGGAACUGAGACACGGUCCAGACUCCUACGGGAGGCAGCAGUAGGGAAUCUUCCGCAAUGGGCGAAAGCCUGACGGAGCAACGCCGCGUGAGUGAUGAGGGUCUUCGGAUCGUAAAACUCUGUUAUUAGGGAAGAACAAAUGUGUAAGUAACUAUGCACGUCUUGACGGUACCUAAUCAGAAAGCCACGGCUAACUACGUG